UAACACACAUUUUUUUGCAGUCGUCUCAAUACUUGAUCGACCGAACCAAAUGUGUCUCGAAUCGCUUGCCGUUAACUCACCUUGUAACCGCAAUGAAAACGAAGUGCAAAAACAAAAACGAUGCGGUCGUAUUCGCUGCUUCCGUCUUAAGAAAUUAAAAUGUAUGAAAUUCAAUGGAAAUCUGAUUAUAGUAAGCAAUUACCUCCAACAACAUUUAUGUAGUAAACUGAGCUUAAAUGCCGAUAUAUAAGUAGCGAAAAGCAGCUUACUAGUUCCAGCCGUAAUUUGGAUUGUGACAUGAAUUUAGCGAAGAGUUUAAUUACUUUACUACCGCCAUCAAGAACUGCGCUGAAGUGGAAAUGAGUAAUUCGCUAAAGAUAUCAUUAACUUCACUGACAGAAAAAGUAGCUGAUCUUUAAUUUCUUAACUAAAUGAAGAAAUUUUGUAAAUCUGACAAAACACGUCAACACUUUAGACGCUAUGUUUAACUAGCAGAUACAAAUUUUAUUGCUAAAAUAGUACGAUCAAAAUUUGUAAAAAGUGUUUAACCCAGGAAAAGAUCUUGAACUUUCAGAUUCUUAAACAACAAUUUUGUAACUAGUGAUGCCACCUUUACUUGAACUUGUGGAUUAAAAUAACUAAUGACAAAUCUUUGGACUAAACUGAUGUCAAGUUUAUUGACUACUCUAUGGAAUAGCCCAUUGACUAUUUUUGUUCACAUAAUAUAACAUUUAACGUAAUCAUGUGGCGCUCUGUUUAGAAUGCUUUUCAAAUCAUCCAAGGUCAAGUCAAAGAUUGAAAAGUAAAAACUUCUGUAUAGUCCCGACAGUCUUGAGGUAUUGAUAGCAUCUCUUUACACAAGAUGGAAUCUAGCAUUAAGGAAACCUUUCCAGACGAACGGACGGAUAUAGCUAAAUCGAUACUUGUGAUGCUCUUAUUAGACCGCUUUUCAAAUCAGCCAAGGUCAAGUCAAAGAUUGAAAUGUAAACACUAGUUUAUAGUCCCGACAGUCUAGAAGUAUUGGUAGCACCUCUUUAUCCAAGAUGGAAUCCAGCCUCAAGGAAACAUUCCCAGACGAACCAGAUUAUGUGGCGCUCUGGUUAGAAUACUUUUCAAAUCAUACAAGGUCAAUUCAAAGAUUGAAAUGUAAACACUAGUUUUUAGGCCCCACAGUCUUGAGGUAUUGGAAACACCUUUUUACCCAAGAUGAAAUCUAGCAUCAAGGAAACAUUCCCAGACGAAUUAGAUUAUGUGGCGCUCUGUUUAUAAAGCUUUUCAAAUCAUCCAAGGUCAAGUCAAAGAUUGAUAAGUAAAAACUUCUGUAUAGUACCGACAGUCUUGAGGUAUUGAUAGCACCUCUUUACACAAUAUGGAAUCUAGCGUAAAGGAAACAUUCCCAGGCGAAUCAGAUUAUGUGGUGCUCUUGUUAGACCGCUUUUCAAAUCAGCCAAGGUCAAGUCGAAGAAUGAAAUGUAAAAACUAGUGUAUAGUCCCAACAGUCUUGAGGUAUUGGUAGCACCUCUUUAUCCAUGAUAAAAUCUAAACGGCUACACCGAAUGUUAAAACUUGCACAGUGUAUUCCUGUAUAUCUGGAAGAGGAUAUGGGCUACUUUUUACUCUACUUUUUGUGAAUUAACUCCCGAUGUACUCACCCAUCUUUAUCACCAUAUACUUAUUAAUUUGUUUUAUUAUUCAUUAUUUUUGUUAUUGUUUAACAUAAUAAAACUGGUAUAACCCAAAUGAUAUCAGUGUCAUGAAAUCACAAUUUAAAAUGAAUAUAUUUUAUUUAAAACUGGAAAUAAAUAAUACAUGCAUAUUA
Molecule: long non-coding RNA, 1819 nt
Organism: Lucilia cuprina (Australian sheep blowfly)
Lineage: Eukaryota; Metazoa; Arthropoda; Insecta; Diptera; Calliphoridae
Exons: 3
Source: RefSeq, a predicted model, not a curated record